This 249-nucleotide long non-coding RNA is filed under the name Nicotiana benthamiana. Its description in RNAcentral is "long non-coding RNA (NBEN_LNC029417)". The record is from RNAcentral. Lineage: Eukaryota; Viridiplantae; Streptophyta; Magnoliopsida; Solanales; Solanaceae.
AUGGUAGAGAACGUUGUAAUAAUAAUUGGGCCAUGAGAGACUCUUUUAAGUAUUGCAAAGAAGUUGCAUCUUAUAUCUUAUAAAUAUAAAUAUAGAGUUUCCCCCAGUUUGGGAGAAACUAAGGUGGAAGGGAAUUGAGAUAACCUUUGAGCUCGUCAAAAGCUUGCUGAAAUCGAUCACUCCACUUCAAAUAUUCAUUUUUAUUAAAGAAUGGCAAACCUCGCUCAGCUGACUUAGAUAAAAAUAGAU